RNAcentral lists this ribosomal RNA (389 nucleotides) under uncultured bacterium. RNAcentral's name for it is "bacterial SSU rRNA". It matches the Rfam family "Bacterial small subunit ribosomal RNA", at positions 30 to 417 of the family's 1533-position model. The record is from RNAcentral.
AUUGAACGCUGGCGGCAUGCCUUACACAUGCAAGUCGAACGGCAGCACGGGAGCUUGCUCCUGGUGGCGAGUGGCGAACGGGUGAGUAAUACAUCGGAACGUACCCUGAAGUGGGGGAUAACGUAGCGAAAGUUACGCUAAUACCGCAUAUUCUGUGAGCAGGAAAGAGGGGGAUCGCAAGACCUCUUGCUUUAGGAGCGGCCGAUGUCGGAUUAGCUAGUUGGUGAGGUAAAGGCUCACCAAGGCGACGAUCCGUAGCGGGUCUGAGAGGAUGAUCCGCCACACUGGGACUGAGACACGGCCCAGACUCCUACGGGAGGCAGCAGUGGGGAAUUUUGGACAAUGGGCUCAAGCCUGAUCCAGCCAUGCCGCGUGAGUGAAGAAGGCCU